Molecule: ribosomal RNA, 455 nt
Filed under: uncultured bacterium
Lineage: Bacteria
Description: bacterial SSU rRNA
Rfam family: Bacterial small subunit ribosomal RNA
Source: RNAcentral
UACGGAAGGCAGCAGUGAGGAAUAUUGGUCAAUGGGUGCAAGCCUGAACCAGCCAUCCCGCGUGAAGGACGACUGCCCUAUGGGUUGUAAACUUCUUUUGUAUAGGGAUAAACCUACCCUCGUGAGGGUAGCUGAAGGUACUAUACGAAUAAGCACCGGCUAACUCCGUGCCAGCAGCCGCGGUAAUACGGAGGGUGCAAGCGUUAUCCGGAUUUAUUGGGUUUAAAAGGGUCCGUAGGCGGACUUAUAAGUCAGUGGUGAAAGCCUGUCGCUUAACGAUAGAACUGCCAUUUGAUACUGUAAAGUCUUGAGUAUAUUUUUGAGGUAGCUGGAAUAAGUAGUGUAGCGGUGAAAUGCAUAGAUAUUACUUAGAACACCAAUUGCGAAGGCAGGUUACCAAGAUAUAACUGACGCUGAGGGCGAAAAGCGUGGGGAGCGAACAGGGAUUAGAUACC